AGCACAAUUACUUUUGCACCAACCUAAUAGAAAGCUUUGACCUAGAGGAAGGUACUUUAGGAGACUGCCAAUCAUCAGCAUGCUUUCUGUUUCCUUUUCUCUGCUUAUCUAUGUAAGGUUUUAUUCAAAGUGGGUACUCCUGGUUUAUGGUGGGAAUAUGAGUAGGGUUGUGGAGAAAAAGGAUACAGAGGCUUCUAACCCCACGAGUAAGUCUGCUGCCAGUGGUAGCCAUACAGUGAGAAUACGAUACAAUUAGAGUCCAUCAGCAGAGUGCUUUAUUAGUCCCUGCCUUGGCUGGGUCACGUGUAAGAUGAUCAACUUCUUGCUGCUUUUUUCUUUAAAAAAGUUAAUCUGAACUUGGCAACUAUGUUUUUGUUCGUGGAAACCUGGUUAUCCAGCCCGUUGGCACAGCUGGUUUGGGUUUUGAUUCCCAGAACUCAGUCUACAGGCCUUUCCAGCCUCUCUCCAGCAUAGAUUGCAGCGCUCUGCAAGGUGCAAGUCCUGAAAACACAUCAUUUGGAUUUCCUCUCUCUGGUUAACUGUCACAGCCAGCUGCUCUCAAUCCCUGGAUUCAUUUCCUCUUGAAUUCUGUGUAAUGUUCUCCUUAAUCAUUCAAUGUAAAAAGAAGAAAAACUUUUUCCUGGUCUUUUUUUUUUUUUUAAAUGGGAGAGGCUUUACUGAUUUUCUUUUCAAUUUGACCAAUAAUUCCCUUAUGCCCACGGAUACUCCUUAACAGUUGUUCUCUUGCUGUUGUCAUUUUAUAUUAAUGUUCAGAGAAUACUUAAUGGAAUCUUCCUUCAAUAACUACUCAUAUUGGCUCUUAUUUGGUUUGCAAUUUUGAAACCAAAGAUCUAUGGAUUUUAAACCAUACACUCCUCAGGCAAGAGGUUAUUAAACAAUCAUUGGUGACUGUAUUUAAUGUUAAACUUAUAAUUCAGAAAGAGGUAGACUGGGUGAAUUGAAAAAUACCUCAGAGACUCAGAAUUAGGUUUCCAAAAAGCAAUCAUCUGCACUUUUUUUUCAAAUGAAAAUAGUAUCAUAUCAGGAUUAAUUCAAGUUAAUAGCUAAGAAAAUAUCAAUCUAGGUACUGUACAUAGCUUCAAUGCCCAGUUUCAUUUUGCUACAAGAAACUAUAUAUUUUAUUGGACACGCACACAAAAAGCUUGUCAUAUUACUCAUCACCCCUAGAAGCAGUUCAUAGAGCAGCAAAGUAAUGUUGCUAACAAGAAGCAGUUUUCUGUAGUAGACAGCAAUUCUUAUCCUGUCAUGGAUUUAUCUUAUUAUUGACAGCAAAUUUGGCUGGCAUUUACCAGAAUUGAUGCUUUACCCAGCCCCAUACCAGAGCUGGAACAUAAAAUAGGCUUAUACCACACUUAAUGUCACUCACGUAUUUCCUCUGUUCAAAGUCACAUCCCUUUUCUGAUCUGAAUGAUGAAGGAGGACGUUUAAAACAUAGACAUCUCUAUGCUUUAUUAUAGAGUAGUUUGUAAGUACUGUUUACAGUGCCAACACAUGAGGAGGCAGCAGCAACUACUUUAAUAUGAUUAAAGGUAGCAGUAUUUGCUACAACAAAUGAGUUCUAACAUUGGCCACCAGAGUUGUUUUUUUUUUUUCUUGGUGUCUGGCUUACUUUCUACUUAAUUUGUUCAGGAAAACACCAGGUCAAUUUGUAUUAUAAGAAUUUGCCUAGCUCACAAAUGAUCCCAUAAGGAGUGGGCAUUCUAUUUUUUCUAGUUCUGAUGUUUCUGUAAUCUUUUUAAGACAUGUUGUAUCAUAAAGCUUAAUGUGCAUCUCAUUUCUUUAAAGUCGCUUGAGGGAUGAGCUAUCAAUGAGAAUCUGGAGAUGUAUAUAGAAGCAGUAACCAUUAAAGGUUGUGUGAGUAACUGGGCUCAGGGUAUGCAAAUAGGCAAGGAGUGGGAUGCGCCCCUCAGUGAGCAAGUUCGUGGUUGUCUGAAGCUACUGCGACGGGGAGCCUCUUGGGGUCAGUGGAGAGGCUGAUGAAGCAGAGACAACUCCAGAAAAGAUGAUGCCUGCCACUGAGGCCAUCGGGAUGAUGGUGGGAGGAGGAACAGAGUCCACCUUACAAAAGAGGAGGAAGAAAUAGGGCCUCUUGAAAGGAAAAGUCUUUCUAGCUGGCCAUUGACUGUGACUUGGAAAAAGGCACAGGACCAAGAAAAGUAGAAGAAAAAUUUGAAGAGUACAAAAAAGAAUGUGUGACAGUUUGCUUUAAGUAUGUUUCAUGGAAAUAGCACAUCGCUGGAUCUAACGGCAAUAAGAAGUCUGCAGGGUGUAUAAUGGGAUUUUUUUUGAGUCUCCCAGAUUUAAAUCUAAAUCUUGGCUCCACCACUUACUGGCCAUGUGACCUCACGCAAAUAAAUGAUUACUUCUCCAAAACUCAGUUUCCUUAUUUGUGAAAUGCGACAAUAAUAGCAUCAUAUUAAUUGGAA
Molecule: long non-coding RNA, 2447 nt
Filed under: Homo sapiens (human)
Lineage: Eukaryota; Metazoa; Chordata; Mammalia; Primates; Hominidae
Description: HSALNT0322761
Source: RNAcentral